GAGUUUGAUCAUGGCUCAGAUUGAACGCUGGCGGCAUGCCUUACACAUGCAAGUCGAACGGCAGCAUGAUCUAGCUUGCUAGAUUGAUGGCGAGUGGCGAACGGGUGAGUAAUACAUCGGAACGUGCCCUGUAGUGGGGGAUAACUAGUCGAAAGAUUAGCUAAUACCGCAUACGACCUGAGGGUGAAAGGUGGGGGACCGCAAGGCCUCAUGCUAUAGGAGCGGCCGAUGUCUGAUUAGCUAGUUGGUGGGGUAAAGGCCCACCAAGGCGACGAUCAGUAGCUGGUCUGAGAGGACGAUCAGCCACACUGGGACUGAGACACGGCCCAGACUCCUACGGGAGGCAGCAGUGGGGAAUUUUGGACAAUGGGCGAAAGCCUGAUCCAGCAAUGCCGCGUGUGUGAGAAG
Molecule: ribosomal RNA, 408 nt
Filed under: uncultured microorganism
Description: bacterial SSU rRNA
Rfam family: Bacterial small subunit ribosomal RNA
Source: RNAcentral